RNAcentral lists this ribosomal RNA (269 nucleotides) under uncultured bacterium. RNAcentral's name for it is "partial 16S ribosomal RNA". It matches the Rfam family "Bacterial small subunit ribosomal RNA", at positions 565 to 832 of the family's 1533-position model. The record is from RNAcentral.
GAGCACGUAGGUGGGUUUGUAAGUCAGAUGUGAAAGCCUUCUGUUCAACGGAAGAAUUGCAUCUGAAACUGCUAAUCUUGAGUAUAGGAGGGGAGAAUGGAACUUCUGGUGGAGCGGUGAAAUGCGUAGAUAUCAGAAGGAACGCCGGCGGCGAAAGCGAUUCUCUGGCCUAUUACUGGCACUCAGUGUGCGAAAGCUAGGGGAGCAAACGGGAUUAGAUACCCCGGUAGUCCUAGCCGUAAACGAUGGGCACUAAGUAGAGGGGUUUU